RNAcentral lists this ribosomal RNA (253 nucleotides) under uncultured bacterium. RNAcentral describes it as "partial 16S ribosomal RNA". It matches the Rfam family "Bacterial small subunit ribosomal RNA", at positions 524 to 776 of the family's 1533-position model. The record is from RNAcentral.
UACGGAGGGGGCCAGCGUUGUUCGGAAUCAUUGGGCGUAAAGGGCGCGUAGGCGGCCACGCAAGUCGGAUGUGAAAUCCCCCGGCUCAACCGAGGAACUGCAUCCGAAACUGCGAGGCUCGAGUCCUGGAGAGGGUAGUGGAAUUCCCAGUGUAGCGGUGAAAUGCGUAGAUACUGGGAGGAACACCGGUGGCGAAGGCGGCUACCUGGACAGGUACUGACGCUGAUGCGCGAAAGCCAGGGGAGCAAACAGG